GGACAGAAAGACCCUAUGAAGCUUUACUGUAGUUUGGAAUUGGGUUCGGGCUCUUCUUGCGCAGCCUAGGUGGGAGGCUAUGAAGAUAAACUUUUGGGUUUAUUGGAGCCAACAGUGAGAGACCACUCUAGAGGAGCUAGAAUUCUAAUGGCGUUCCUUGAAGCAGGACGCUUGACAGUUUCAGAUGGGCAGUUUGACUGGGGCGGUCACCUCCUAAAAGGUAACGGAGGUGUGCAAAGGUUCCCUCAGGCUGGACGGAAAUCAGCCGUAGAGUGUAAAGGCAGAAGGGAGCUUGACUGCAAGACCUACAAGUCGAGCAGGGGCGAAAGCCGGCCUUAGUGAUCCGACGGUUCCGAGUGGAAGGGCCGUCGCUAAAUGGAUAAAAGUUACUCUAGGGAUAACAGGCUGA
This 409-nucleotide ribosomal RNA is filed under the name uncultured organism. RNAcentral describes it as "bacterial LSU rRNA". It matches the Rfam family "Bacterial large subunit ribosomal RNA", at positions 2078 to 2485 of the family's 2925-position model. The record is from RNAcentral.